CUUUAUUAUUUUAACAAAUAUUUUUAUCUAAGUUUUAGAAAUGUAGAGUCAUUUUGGAAGGAGAGUUCUAGCUGAACACCUCUAUUUACUGGAUGGCAGCUACAUAAAAUGCAGCCUGAAAGGUUAAGAAGGAAAAGAGCUCCUGAAGGUCUGGCCUUGUCACCUGAAGCCUAUAAUGUAAGGAGAAAAGUCACAGAAUCAAUGCAAGAGUAGAAAAUUCAUGACCGGAAGCAUUAGGAUGCACAAAGAGGACCAAAUCUAAAGCUCAGUUACAGAGGAAGAACAGGACUGCUGCCACUUUGCAAACAUUUCAAGAGGUCACCCUCUGUGGGGAGGAUGAAGUCAACAAGAUGAAUCUCCUCAGAGUAAUUGCUGGAUAGUGUUGACGAACGCUUGAAUCACGUCACCAGACUGCAGCUGUACUGACAGCGGACUCCUAGCUGUCCUGCAUACACCCACUGUUGCUUUUGCCCUCCUAGGACGCGGCCAGGCUCCUGGAGACCUGGACAGCUGAAGCCGUAGACCCAGAACAUGGUCUCUCCCACGGCAGAAAACCUGGUUGUGGGCUCUGCUUUGAAAUUCCCUCUUGCAACACCAGACCCGCCACUGAGCACCAGCCGUAAAUGAAAGCAAAAGCUAGAGUUCAGGCGGAAGCAGAAAGUAAAUACACGGCCUUGGCUGACCCUUUCAGGGAUAGAUUGUUCCAUUUAUAACAGAGACUAAAACAGAAAAAAACCCACUGGAGGUGGUCACGGCUGAAACAGUGUUUCUAGCAUCUUCGGGGUCACUACUCAGUAACUUAUUUCAAAUCGUUUUGAAUGGUGAGUUCUCACAUCCAGGUGUUCCUCUGCCUCACCUGUUUACAAAUGUCCUUACCAGUUUUUAUUCCAUUAGGCCUCAGCAUAGAAAAGUAACAAGCAUCUCAGGCUUCAGGGUUUUGAUUUUUAAAACGAACAAAAUAAAAAAGAGGCCAACAA
This is a long non-coding RNA of Neofelis nebulosa (Clouded leopard), 977 nucleotides long. RefSeq lists it as uncharacterized. Lineage: Eukaryota; Metazoa; Chordata; Mammalia; Carnivora; Felidae. The record is from RefSeq and is a predicted model, not a curated record. The transcript has 3 exons.